UGAACUGUAGUUCUUUAUUUUCUGCCAUUA
This 30-nucleotide non-coding RNA is filed under the name Rattus norvegicus (Norway rat). Lineage: Eukaryota; Metazoa; Chordata; Mammalia; Rodentia; Muridae. The record is from RNAcentral.